GCUUUUCUGACCCAGGGCACCUCAGAGCAGGAAGGGCUUCUGUCGCCCCCAGAGGACUCAGGGCCUCUGCCCUUGCCUGAGGACAGAGAGCAGAGCUGCGUUUCCAGCAGGUUCUGCCACCCGCCCCAGGGGAGACCUUGGGAGCCUUGCAGCAACUUGGUGUCUCCUGAGUUGCCAGAGAGAAGCUGCCUUGUUGCACUGAGUGUUGAGGAGAGGGCCCUGGGUGGCUUCCCUGGGCACUGGCCAGUCGGUCAGCAGCACAGGCCCUUGCAUCUUGUGGGCUGUUCCCAUGUUUCAUUACUCACUUUCCCAGACAGUAUUUGAAGAUGUAUUUUGCUAAAGGACCCGUGGAUCGAGGGGUCUCACGACAUCACAUCAUGGAUACCGUGGAUGGUUUGUUCCAGAUUCAGGCUUGUUUCCGGGGAGAAAGCCUAACAGAAACUCAGAAGACCAGGAGCUGCAUUCAGUUACGGUGUGAAUACAUGAAAUAUUCGUCUCAGGACCUUCUAGAAGAAUGAGCUGGGACCCACUUUCCGAGUCCUGCUGGAACCAAAGACCGAGAUAUUGCCCAGGUGUCUGAAUGCCUGCACUGGGGUACCUCCUUUUCUGAUGGACUGGAUUCCCGUAAGUACUGCAGUCGAUCUACCUUUGGACUUUAUCCUGUGUUGUAUCUUUCAGUCUGUUCACUUAAUUUUGUUGCAGUACUUUAAUGUUGAGGGAUUCAUAAUUGGAUUGAUUUUCACUACAUGGUAUGAGCUGCCGUUCCAAUUAUGACAGAAAGCACGGGCUUCCCGUGGUAGGUACUCACGAGCAAGGCUGAUAUCCUGGGCACUUGAGCUGAGAAUGUCACUCUGUCUUUUUGCCAGCCUUCUUCCCUACCCUUACGGCAAGAAUCUCCUUUUGUUCACACAGAAAUGUAGGUGAAGUCAGCAGAGAAAGGUCCCUUCUCUUCUCUUCCCUUUGUCUCUCAAACUCCCUGUCGCUACCUUCUGCCCGUCCCUUUCUCUGACUCAAUCCCCCAGGUCCACUGCUCCAAUCCAGCCAUGAUCAGGGCGUCCUCCAGCUGCUGGCUUCUGCUCUGGCCAUCCCUCAGUGAGGAAACUGCAGGGGGAUUAUGUAGUUCACGGGUCUGAUCAAGAAAUCUCUGCUCCUCAGAGCCCUCCCACACAUGGUGCUGUCUGGGGAGACCUGGCAUCCCGGGCGAGGGUCUGACUUCAUGUUGGUCUCCUCACUCCUCUCCCAUAGUCACUGCUGGUCCCUCAUCCUUCCCCAUCAUUAGAACUCCGCCAUUUCCUAGGGGCAGAUACCUGUCUAUCUGACUCCGAGGCACCAGGGAGUCAGUGAAUAUUUCUAAAAUAAAUGAACAUAAACACCCUAUAAAUCUAGACACAGGAAGUUCCCACCACCCUGGAAAACUCCCUCAGGCUCUCUUGCACAAAGGGUGAUGUUGCUACUAUCCUCUGUCGCCGCCAUUUCUGCCAGCUUGUUCCCUGUGUGUACAGGAACCCCACUGUGUGCACUCAAUGGGGAGUGAGAGUGGAUGGUCCUAGAAGCAGACGCUGACACAGAAUGGUGAAAGGUGUAUUAGGGGACAGUAGGAAGGACAAAGUGGAGGGGACAGGAUGGGCAGGGAAAGCAUUCAGGCAGAUCUGACACCUUCUUAAAAUAGAUACAUAAUCACUGUCGUCUGUCACCGUGCACAGUCCUCUUGAAAUUUCAAAAUAGUUGUCCUAUAAGGCAAAGAGAUUUAGUGUUAUUUCCGUCUUAUCUUAUGUUUUCCUACAUGCAUUCUGUCUUCUGUAGUUUGUCUGUGGCCUCAGAUGAACACUUUAGUGUGUGGCUGCAUCUGUGAGUCUAUACGUAAUGGAAAAUGAUUGUCUUCAGAUCUAGAUCUGUGAAUGUGCACAUUCUCAUAAUGAUCUUUUCUUUCUUUGUCUGGUAGGCCCCGAAUUUUAAUAGAAAAAUGAGGGACCUUGUCUUAUUGUUUAAAACAGCGAUUCCCAAUCCCUGGGCUGAGGUGUUCACAGUCUUAGUUUAACGAACUCCCAUGACCAUCUUUUUUUGAUGAUCAUUGUGUGGAGAUAUCUUAAUUGCAACUGUGAGAAGGGUGAGUGGACACUUCCCAGAGAUGUUGCAGAGGCUUUACGUAUUUAAUGUCUUCUUUUUAUAAUGUUCUUGGAAACAAAUAUUAACCUUGUUUUCACCGAUACCACAGCUGAGGCUCUGUGUAGGUCCCACUGAGAACUGGUAUUAGGGCUGAGCCAGCAGGAACACAGGCAAAGCCUCAGGAUAUUGUGAGAGAAGUCUGAGGAGAUGAUUCCACAUUGAGGAGGUCCAGAAAGAAUGAGGCAAGGUAGGAGACUUCCAAGUGGAGUGUGGUGUCAUCCUCCUUGAUGUAUUCCAGGAACACACUGGAAAAGGUCCUCACCCGUAAGCACGCUUAGCUUCUCAAGUUACCACAAAGACAUGCCUGUGUAAAACGGGGAAGCCCGUAGACUCGGGGUAAAGGUUUUGCAUUUGGAAACAAAAACAAAA
Molecule: long non-coding RNA, 2535 nt
Organism: Acinonyx jubatus (cheetah)
Lineage: Eukaryota; Metazoa; Chordata; Mammalia; Carnivora; Felidae
Exons: 2
Source: RefSeq, a predicted model, not a curated record